CCUACGGGAGGCAGCAGUGAGGAAUAUUGGUCAAUGGACGCAAGUCUGAACCAGCCAUGCCGCGUGCAGGAAGACGGCUCUAUGAGUUGUAAACUGCUUUUGUACGGGGGUAAACUCCGAUACGCGUAUCUGUCUGCACGUAUCGUUCGAAUAAGGAUCGGCUAAUUCCGUGCCAGCAGCCGCGGUAAUACGGAGGAUUCAAGCGUUAUCCGGAUUUAUUGGGUUUAAAGGGUGCGUAGGCGGUCGGAUAAGUUAGAGGUGAAAUCCCGAGGCCCAAAUUCGGAAUUGCCUGUGAUACUGUGCGGCUAGAGUGGGCGAGAAGUAUGCGGAAGGCGUGGUGUAGCGGUGAAAUGCAUAGAUAUCACGCAGAACUCCGAUUGCGAAGGCAGCAUACCGGAGCCCAACUGACGCGCAGGCACGAAAGCGUGGGUAGCGAACAGGAUUAGAUACCCGAGUAGUC
Molecule: ribosomal RNA, 460 nt
Filed under: uncultured bacterium
Lineage: Bacteria
Description: partial 16S ribosomal RNA
Rfam family: Bacterial small subunit ribosomal RNA
Source: RNAcentral